UGAACGCUGGCGGCGUGCUUAACACAUGCAAGUCGAACGAUGAAGCCUAGCUUGCUAGGUGGAUUAGUGGCGCACGGGUGAGUAAUAUAUAGAUAAUGUGCCUCUUAGUCUGGGAUAGCCAUUGGAAACGAUGAUUAAUACUAGAUACUCCUUCUAACUCUAAUGUUAGUUGGGAAAGUUUUUUCGCUAAGAGAUCAGUCUAUAUCCCAUCAGCUUGUUGGUAGUGUAAGAGACUACCAAGGCAAUGACGGGUAGCGGGUUUGAGAGGAUGAUCCGCCACACUGGUACUGAGACACGGACCAGACUCCUACGGGAGGCAGCAGUGAGGAAUAUUGCACAAUGGGGGAAACCCUGAUGCAGCAACGCCGCGUGGAGGAUGACGCAUUUCGGUGUGUAAACUCCUUUUAUAUGUCAAGAAAAUGACGGUAGCAUAUGAAUAAGCACCGGCUAACUCC
RNAcentral lists this ribosomal RNA (455 nucleotides) under uncultured bacterium. RNAcentral's name for it is "bacterial SSU rRNA". It matches the Rfam family "Bacterial small subunit ribosomal RNA", at positions 30 to 504 of the family's 1533-position model. The record is from RNAcentral.